UACGGAGGGUGCAAGCGUUAAUCGGAAUUACUGGGCGUAAAGCGUGCGUAGGCGGUUUGUCGCGUCUGCCGUGAAAGUCCGGGGCUCAACUCCGGAUCUGCGGUGGGUACGGGCAGACUAGAGUGAUGUAGGGGAGACUGGAAUUCCUGGUGUAGCGGUGAAAUGCGCAGAUAUCAGGAGGAACACCGAUGGCGAAGGCAGGUCUCUGGGCAUUAACUGACGCUGAGGAGCGAAAGCAUGGGGAGCGAACAGG
RNAcentral lists this ribosomal RNA (253 nucleotides) under uncultured bacterium. RNAcentral describes it as "partial 16S ribosomal RNA". It matches the Rfam family "Bacterial small subunit ribosomal RNA", at positions 524 to 776 of the family's 1533-position model. The record is from RNAcentral.